This 22-nucleotide microRNA is filed under the name Oryza sativa (Asian cultivated rice). Its description in RNAcentral is "osa-miR5151". The record is from miRBase by way of RNAcentral. RNAcentral also lists the same sequence under 1 other name. Lineage: Eukaryota; Viridiplantae; Streptophyta; Magnoliopsida; Poales; Poaceae.
UAAUGAUGUGGGUACGAAUGAA